GAAGCGGGAGGGGGAGUGGGAGGGGAAGUGAGCGCGGCCCUAGCAGCUUCCACAACAACAACUUCCGCUCGCGAUAAGCGCGCCCGCACCAGCGAAACAAACAUACAAAUACACCCUACUGGCUACGAUAUUUCGCUUGAUUUAUAUCUCCCAAUAAAACAAGUGCUGCACUUCAGCACAACGCAUGGAAAUUUCCAGGCGUCAGCAGCGGCAGUGCAGCGCAUCAGCAGCGCAAAGCUGGCUUGCUGGCUGGCCGGGAAUUUUUCUUAAACUGGCACACGGCUUCGCAGAAACUUAAUUUUGGUAAUCACCUUGACC
Drosophila suzukii is the source of this 318-nucleotide non-coding RNA. NCBI's taxonomy places the organism in Eukaryota, Metazoa, Arthropoda, Insecta, Diptera, Drosophilidae. The record is from RefSeq and is a predicted model, not a curated record.